GAUGAACGCUAGCGGCAGGCCUAACACAUGCAAGUCGAGGGGUAGAAGGAGCUUGCUCCUUUGAGACCGGCGCACGGGUGCGUAACGCGUAUGCAAUCUACCUUGUACAGGGGAAUAGCCCAGAGAAAUUUGGAUUAAUGCCCCAUAGUAUAUAACCUUCGCAUGUUGGUUAUAUUAAAGUUCCAACGGUACAAGAUGAGCAUGCGUCCCAUUAGUUAGUUGGUAAGGUAACGGCUUACCAAGACAAUGAUGGGUAGGGGUCCGUGAGAGGGAGAUCCCCCACACUGGUACUGAGACACGGACCAGACUCCUACGGGAGGCAGCAGUGAGGAAUAAUUGGUCGAAUAGGGCGGCAAGACCUG
This 362-nucleotide ribosomal RNA is filed under the name uncultured bacterium. Its description in RNAcentral is "bacterial SSU rRNA". It matches the Rfam family "Bacterial small subunit ribosomal RNA", at positions 28 to 385 of the family's 1533-position model. The record is from RNAcentral.